GGGGGUGUACUGGCUUCGACCUGGACGUUCAUCGUCUGGGGGAAGCGGGCCGUGAUCCCGGAUGUCACGUUAAACGCCGGACAAACACAAGCGCCAACGACAACUACGCGCUCGCUGCCUAAUACGUUAGGUAGCCGGGCCCCCUCGGAUCGCCUGCGACCGAGGGGUGCCCGUCACUCAGCAGGCUUACGACGGUAGCUCCGCCCGGGGGCGGCCGCCGGACAACGCACCCGGACUAGCCGAGAGGUCCUCCGCCAGUGGGAGCCUCGAGGCGAAACCUUUCCACUGGCUCCGCCCGGAGAAGCCCCAGUCGGUCGCCUAGGGACGGGGGUUCGAUUCCCCCCACCUCCAAGA
This 354-nucleotide transfer-messenger RNA is filed under the name Actinomycetota bacterium. It matches the Rfam family "transfer-messenger RNA". From Rfam's summary of the family: Bacterial tmRNA, also known as 10Sa RNA or SsrA, is named for its dual tRNA and mRNA-like properties. Its role is to liberate the mRNA from a stalled ribosome. The record is from RNAcentral. Lineage: Bacteria; Bacillati; Actinomycetota.